Molecule: non-coding RNA, 70 nt
Filed under: Schistosoma mansoni
Lineage: Eukaryota; Metazoa; Platyhelminthes; Trematoda; Strigeidida; Schistosomatidae
Source: RNAcentral
UUAUAAACUCCGCCUGUAGCGGUUUUAGAGUUACUGCCGGUCCCAAGCCCGGGUAAAGGAGGAGGGUUGG